GACUAUAUUACAUGGAUUUAUUGUGAUGGUGUAGGUAGACUAUAUUACAUGGAUUUAUUGUGAUGGUGUAGACUAUAUUACAUGGAUUUAUUGUGAUGGUGUAGGUAGACUAUAUUACAUGGAUUUAUUGUGAUGGUGUAGGUAGACUAUAUUACAUGGAUUUAUUGUGAUGGUGUAGACUAUAUUACAUGGAUUUAUUGUGAUGGUGUAGACUAUAUUACAUGGAUUUAUUGUGAUGGUGUAGACUAUAGUACAUGGAUUUAUUGUGAUGGUGUAGACUAUAUUACAUGGAUUUAUUGUGAUGGUGUAGGUAGACUAUAUUACAUGGAUUUAUUGUGAAGGUGUAGACUAUAUUACAUGGAUUUAUUGUGAUGGUGUAGACUAUAGUACAUGGAUUUAUUGUGAUGGUGUAGACUAUAUUACAUGG
This 427-nucleotide long non-coding RNA is filed under the name Salmo salar (Atlantic salmon). Its description in RNAcentral is "lncRNA (ENSSSAG00000110139.1)". The record is from RNAcentral. Lineage: Eukaryota; Metazoa; Chordata; Actinopteri; Salmoniformes; Salmonidae.